Molecule: long non-coding RNA, 287 nt
Filed under: Mytilus galloprovincialis (Mediterranean mussel)
Lineage: Eukaryota; Metazoa; Mollusca; Bivalvia; Mytilida; Mytilidae
Source: RNAcentral
AAAAAAUAUCGUUUCUAGAAUUAUGUAAUAUUCAUCUAGAUUGCACGUAAAAUUUUAAUCUAUAACGCUGCGAAAGAAGGAUAUGGAUGGUACAUUGUGUGCAUGGAGUUGACGGAAUAAAGAUCAACGAAGGGUUUAAAUAUAAAGAAAUAGAACUAUGGACAACACUUACAAAGAAAGGAGAAUAAUGAUCAAAACUUAUAAAGAAUAGAAGAAAAAAAAAUAACACAAAUUAACGGUCAUAAAUUAAAGACUGUAAAAAUGAAAGUCUCCCUCUCAGACUCCCU